GCGAAAAAUAGACUUUAUUGUGCCCAGAGCGGCGCGACCGCACGGCUCAGGGCCGGGGCCGCUGAGGUCCCGCUCUGCGACCCCGCCGCCUCCGUGGGGCAUCGCCCCGGAGCGUGGCACCGCGCAGCGUGGGCUGCCCUUCACCUGAAGGGGCGGCCGCGUCCAUCGAGCGCAGCUGGAAACUCAGCGCGUACCACGUCCCAGUCCUGCCUGGAGGAGCGCCCGGGCGGCUCACUCAGAACGUCUGUACACUAAGUGCCACCUCCAUAUUCACAACACAGUAACGUACUGCAAUCAGUCGCUUAAGAGUAGUUCCCUCGAGAAACAACCUUCUGCUCCGGCUGUGCGCACAGCGGGGAGCUCCCACGAGCGGGGCUAGAGUCCAUCCCCCCGUCCGUCCGUCCGUCCGUCCAUCCUCGGUCCGCCCCGCGGCGUCGCUCAGUGCCGCUGGCAAGUGUGCAGGCGGGAGGCGUCGGGACCGCCGCGGUCGCGCUGCGGGCGGCACGCCAUGCCCUCGGCGCAGGGGCAGCGCUGGAAGAUCUCGAGGCCGUGGGCUCCUUUCCGGCGGUGCCGGGUGCACACCUGCCCCUCGCGCAGCACGGGUUUGCAGAUCUUGGACCAGAAGUGGCGGGCGCAGCACAGCCCCGCCGCGCAGUCCGACGAGCGCAGGCAGAAGUCGCCCUCCUCACCUUUGGCGUCGGGCGGCCAGGCGGGCGCGGGCGUCCGUCGGGGCAGCGCCUCGGGGCCGGGCUCGUCCAGCUCGGGAGCUCCGGGCGGGGGUUCGGGGGGCGUGCAGAGCCCGUUGCUGCAGGCCGUGCCCGGGCAGCACAUGGCGUCGCGCAGGCAGCGCUUGCGGCGUCUCCUGCACGCGAGGCAGAGCGGGGGGCCGCCGCCGCGGGCCGCCCCUCCGCAGAAUUCGUCGGGGCCGCAGUCCUCGUCCUCGGAGCAGGGGAAGGGCUGCCGGGUGGCGGCCGGCGGCGCCUUGUUGCUACCGUCGAAGGGCGCGGGGGCGGCGGCGGCGGGGGCGGCGCUGGCGGCCGCCCCCACCUUGAUGGCGUUGGAGCUGAGGCCGCCGCCGGCCCCCGCCCGCCCCGCGCAGCUCAGGGCCGCCAGCAGCGCCAGCAGAGCCCGCAUCGCCCGUCUGUCCCGACCCGUCCGC
This 1159-nucleotide long non-coding RNA is filed under the name Gallus gallus (chicken). The record is from RNAcentral. Lineage: Eukaryota; Metazoa; Chordata; Aves; Galliformes; Phasianidae.